GUGCCAGCCGCCGCGGUAAUACGUAGGUGGCAAGCGUUGUCCGGAUUUAUUGGGCGUAAAGCGAGCGCAGGCGGUUUUUAAGUCUGAUGUGAAAGCCUUCGGCUCAACCGAAGAAGUGCAUCGGAAACUGGGAAACUUGAGUGCAGAAGAGGACAGUGGAACUCCAUGUGUAGCGGUGAAAUGCGUAGAUAUAUGGAAGAACACCAGUGGCGAAGGCGGCUGUCUGGUCUGUAACUGACGCUGAGGCUCGAAAGCAUGGGUAGCAAACAGGAUUAGAUACCCUGGUAGUCCAUGCCGUAAACGAUGAGUGCUAGGUGUUGGAGGGUUUCCGCCCUUCAGUGCCGCAGCUAACGCAUUAAGCACUCCGCCUGGGGAGUACGAUCGCAAGAUUGAAACUCAAAGGAAUUGACGGGGGCCCGCACAAGCGGUGGAGCAUGUGGGUUAAUUCGAAGCAACGCGAAGAACCUUACCAGGUCUUGACAUCUUCUGAAAAUCUUAGAGAUAAGACGUUCCCUUCGGGGACAGAAUGACAGGUGGUGCAUGGUUGUCGUCAGCUCGUGUCGUGAGAUGUUGGGUUAAGUCCCGCAACGAGCGCAACCCUUAUUACUAGUUGCCAGCAUUUAGUUGGGCACUCUAGUGAGACUGCCGGUGACAAACCGGAGGAAGGUGGGGACGACGUCAAAUCAUCAUGCCCCUUAUGACCUGGGCUACACACGUGCUACAAUGGAUGGUACAACGAGUCGCAAAACCGCGAGGUUAAGCUAAUCUCUUAAAACCAUUCUCAGUUCGGAUUGUAGGCUGCAACUCGCCUACAUGAAGCCGGAAUCGCUAGUAAUCGCGGAUCAGCAUGCCGCGGUGAAUACGUUCCCGGGCCUUGUACACACCGCCCGU
RNAcentral lists this ribosomal RNA (891 nucleotides) under uncultured bacterium. RNAcentral describes it as "bacterial SSU rRNA". It matches the Rfam family "Bacterial small subunit ribosomal RNA", at positions 505 to 1397 of the family's 1533-position model. The record is from RNAcentral.